GGAGAUUUCAUCAUGCUUUUGAGAACGGUAAAUAACAGAAAACACACACUGCAUCCUUCUGAAGAUUUCCGUUUAAUACUUCUCGGGCAGUGUUUGGACACGGUCGAGUGAAUCUGAGGAGAGCAAAACCACAGAGAAAGAGGAGCAACCGUAACUCCCAUUGCUCAAUGGACAACGAAAAGACGACAUCUUUGCUGCAGUUAUCAAUUCUUGGUUUAGCAAUCUGCAGAUGAGGUUCAUGGAAGACCCAGAUGGGAAAAGGAAGUUUACCCAGUAUGCAUCUAUGCAGUUUUGGAAGCACAAGGAGGGACCGAGAGUGAAGAAUUAUCUCACGGAAGGCAGAGUACCAAAACCAACAGUACCAAACAGUCUUCAGGCAAGACAGAAAGGCAAAGUCUAGAGAAUGAAUCCUCCAAAAGGAAUCUUAGCCCAAAGGUGCUUACUUGAGCCAAGAGACAGAACACGGCCUCAGAGGAACAUCUUUAAUGAUAACCCAUGUGGGGUGCCAAACUCGAUACUUCUAAAUAGGAUUCCAGCUUAUUGAUCCUUAGUAUGAUUAAUAAAAUAAUUUUGAAAAUAAACUCAGAAAGGAACUUGAGGAUUGAUUUAUAAGAGUUUGAGGCAAAACAACUGUUCUAAUAGAGUCGUGGCUACAAAGAGCGCCGGCCAUGUCUUUUGAGGUGUGUCCAAGAAAGCCAGAAUGUUCAGGACGGAGCUAAGCAAGCAGCUGCCUGCGGAAGGGGUGGGCCCCAUCAGAGAAGGUUCACAGUGUUGGUUAAAGCAUGCUUAGGUGUUUGGCUGGUACCAAAACAAUAGACAGAGUAAGAGAAAGGAAAAGUUACAUGUAUUUAGUUAGAACUCAGAAAAGAGGACAUCUUAGGAGGCUCAGAGGAGCUAUAGUAAAUGUAUUCUGGGAAGAGAAUCUGAGGAGGGUGAAUUCAUUAUCUCACUAAAGGGAAAUUUCUGAGGGAAGGCCUCCUAGACAGUUGGUUGACAGGCCUGUUUGGAUUAAUUCUUAAGGGAGAGGACAAUAGUAUCGCUUUAAAAUUUUUAUGUUAUGCCACCUAGGGCCAGAAGUAGAACUCAGAUUCCAUUCUCUUGAGAAAGAGGAAGCAACUUCUCUUCCCUCAGUGGGCUUCAGUCAAGCUGUGAUACUUUGCACAAGGUGUUUUAAAUACUGAGAAGGGGACUAAGUGUUCCUUCGCUUGUUCGUGUUACACCGGAAACCAGAGGUGGGGCCCGAGGAUGAAUAUGAGGAUGCGGUACAACUUCAGCGGCCGCUAAGUCUGUGACUGGCUGUCUAGCGACCUGGCAAUAUCAGUGCCUUUGUACAUUCUAUGUAUAAUGGACUCCGGAGCUGGCUCCAGCCCAAGAUACUGUAAUUAGUGGUGGAGGGCAA
Apodemus sylvaticus (European woodmouse) is the source of this 1399-nucleotide long non-coding RNA. RefSeq lists it as uncharacterized. NCBI's taxonomy places the organism in Eukaryota, Metazoa, Chordata, Mammalia, Rodentia, Muridae. The transcript has 3 exons. The record is from RefSeq and is a predicted model, not a curated record.